GUGAACCUCACCUACGGAAACGUAGUGUUAGACGAGGGACAUACUCAAAAGUGAACCCCACCUACGGAAGAACGUAGGUUAGACGGGGAACACAGCGGCAAAGAGUGAACCUCACCUACGGAAACGUAGUGUUAGACGAGGGACAUACUCAAAAGUGAACCCCACCUGCGGAAGAACGUAGGUUAGACGGGGAACACAUCGACAAAAGUGAACCCCACCUACGGAAGAACGUAGGUUAGACGGGGGACACGUCGGCUAAACACACACCCCAUUCUACAAAAAUGUAGACAGAGGGGCAAGUGCCCAAGAGUAAACCUCACCUACGGAAGAACGUAGGUUAGACGAGGGACGUACUCAAGAGUAAACCUCACCUACGGAAGAACGUAGGUUAGACGAGGGACGUACUCAAAGAAUAGUCCUCACCCACGGAUGAACAUGGGUAGACGAGGAAGCACAAUCAGCCCCUAUCGCGGAAAGGCGAAAAAAAAAAAGGAGGGGGCAAGUAUUCAAGUAAUAUUCCUCACCCACGGAUGAACGCGGGUAGACGAGGAAGCACAAUCAGCCCCUAUCGCAGAAAGGCGGAAAAAAGGAGGGGGCAAGUAUUCAAAUAGUAAGUCCUCACCCACGGAUGAACAUGGGUAGACGAGGAAGCACAAUCAGCCCCUAUCGCAGAAGGGCGGAAAAAAGGAGGGGGCAAGUAUUCAGGUAAUAUUCCUCACCCACGGAUGAACGCGGGUAGACGAGGAAGCACAAUCAACCCCUAUCGCAGAAAGGCGGAAAAAAGGAGGGGGCAAAUAUUCAAUUAACAGUCCUCACCCACGGAUGAACGUGGGUAGACGAGGAAGUACACUCAGCCCCUAUCGCAGAAAGGCGGAAAAAAGGAGGGGGUCGGGUACUCUCAAAACCCGCCACAGGGAAGAGAACCCAAGCAGUGCUCAAGGN
Molecule: long non-coding RNA, 942 nt
Filed under: Zostera marina
Lineage: Eukaryota; Viridiplantae; Streptophyta; Magnoliopsida; Alismatales; Zosteraceae
Description: long non-coding RNA (ZMAR_LNC002282)
Source: RNAcentral